RNAcentral lists this unclassified non-coding RNA (214 nucleotides) under Glomus sp. RNAcentral's name for it is "partial contains 5.8S ribosomal RNA and internal transcribed spacer 2". The stretch from base 1 to 65 matches the Rfam family "5.8S ribosomal RNA", at positions 84 to 154 of the family's 154-position model. Lineage: Eukaryota; Fungi; Glomeromycota; Glomeromycetes; Glomerales; Glomeraceae. The record is from RNAcentral.
GUGAAUCAUCAAAUUUUUGAACGCAAAUUGCACUCUCCUCGGAGAGUAUGCCGGUUUGAGGUUCAGCCUAUUAAAAAUCUACAUCGUUGCUGUUUCCCUGUGGCGUUCGUCGGAAAUUGGGUCAGCUUAAAUCCUUUUGGUUUAAGCGAGUUAAAAUUGUCUUUUGUGUCCAUGAACUCGUCUGAGAUCUAUUUCGUUAGACGUUUAAUGUAUC